GAGGCAGUAUGGGAUUUGAUUAAUAGAGCUUCGAAAGAGGAAGUGUUUGGUGUGAAAACUAUUAAAUCUGACCCGGGCCGUCUUAUGUUAGAAUGCAGUCAAACAUCAUUGGGUUGUGAUUGGUAUUUAAGAGUUACCAAAACUUCGAGCACG
RNAcentral lists this small RNA (153 nucleotides) under Arabidopsis thaliana (thale cress). RNAcentral's name for it is "ATSL166260". Lineage: Eukaryota; Viridiplantae; Streptophyta; Magnoliopsida; Brassicales; Brassicaceae. The record is from RNAcentral.